AUGACAGAUUUGGCUCAUCAUCAUUUCACAAAUGUCUUCGGCACCGAACGACGCACUUCUUCUGCUCUGCUUUGGGACAAGUUGGAUCUGGACCAUGCCGACCUCUCUGAUCUUGAGGGGAGCUUCUCGUUGGCGGAGGUCAAGCAAGCCAUUGACGACAUACCUUCGGAGAAGGCUCCUGGGCCGGAUGGAUUUUCGAAUGGCUUCUACAGAUGUUGUUGGGAUACUAUCAAGGGCGACGUGAUGGACGCCUUACAUCCGCUGCACCAACUUGAUUGCAGAGGUCUCGCGCGCAUUAACAAGGCUUUCAUU
RNAcentral lists this ribosomal RNA (312 nucleotides) under Triticum aestivum (bread wheat). Its description in RNAcentral is "partial small subunit ribosomal RNA". The record is from RNAcentral. Lineage: Eukaryota; Viridiplantae; Streptophyta; Magnoliopsida; Poales; Poaceae.